AAAUGGCUCCUUGAUCUAUGGUGCUGCUAGUUUUUCCACAGUAAGGAGACGCAAGGCCAACAAUGAGAUAAGAAUGCAACACGGAAUAUCAGUGCACUGUAACUAAAGACUCUGGACCUUAACUUCUAUGAAGAAUAUUCUAUUUUUACCCUAAAGUAAUAGAUCAAAAUACAGAGGCUCUGUGCUCGCAAACUGGGAGGGGGGGCGGGGUUGAGUGAUUUUAAAUCUCUUUUUAAAAAUCUUUUGUUAAAUCUGCAUUGAAAUCUCUGGGAAGCUUUCCUCUCUAGGUUUCAUGUUCUGAAAAUGACUGGAAACCCUACCAGCCAUUUCAAACGUGUCCACAGUAGUUUUAUUUAAAACAACGUGAAUAAGUGGAACAAAGCCUAACACUCCAUAUAUACAAAUCAGACUUCAGUUUUGCGAGGAGAAUAAUGCUGAAACCUCAAAUUUAGCUGCCACCUCAGAGACUGGCACACAAAUGGACUGCUUAAGGGAGUACACAAGUACUAGUUCUAUAUAUCCACACCCAGGACUAGGAUGGGACUUUUUGUCAUACAAGUUUUUUUCCUGAUCCAAAAAAAUGAAUAGAUUUUAAGGCCAGAAGGGACAAUGAUGAUUAUCCAAUUUGACCAAGUGAUGACAAAUUCACCAUGUCCCCAGCCCAAGCCUCAUUGCUACUGUAAAUUAUUAAAAGUCUGAAGUGAAUGAUGCUCAGGAGUCAGUCGCCAAUGAACAGAAGCACGUCAAUAAUUUUUCAGUGUCCCAGCAAACAAAAACACAAAGUGAACCUCAGUCAAAAGCACGGAGAUUCACCUGGUUUCAUAUUGAAAUGGGAAGCUUAAAGCCAUAAACCCAAAACUGAUUUGACUAUGAUCAGGUUUGUGAACUUUACCUGAACAUGGCAGUGUUUCUAUUAAGACAGGAAAGCAGGUGCUGACAGAACUCUGAGGAGACUGAGGCAAGGAACAUCAAUAGCUGUGUUUAUUAUUUUAUCUAGAUCUGCAUGUCUCAUAUGCUAUGGUCUGCAGUUCAUGCUCUAAGAGUUUAUUGCUCUGAAAUCUCUGUCAGUCUGCUACUGGGAAUAUUAGCUUCUGGAUGGGAACAGAGCAGCAAACCACUGGGAGAAUGACAGAGUGCUCAACCGAUUAGUGCUGGGGCGGAAACAGCAGCAGGAAGCCAGCCAAUCAUUUGAAGAGGAAAUGGGCAUCAAGGAGAAAGUACAUGUAGGAUAGCUUUUUCAAAAAAGAAAA
Chelonia mydas (Green sea turtle) is the source of this 1250-nucleotide long non-coding RNA. RefSeq lists it as uncharacterized. The record is from RefSeq and is a predicted model, not a curated record. NCBI's taxonomy places the organism in Eukaryota, Metazoa, Chordata, Testudines, Cheloniidae. The transcript is spliced from 6 exons.